This 269-nucleotide ribosomal RNA is filed under the name Bacillus subtilis. Its description in RNAcentral is "partial 16S ribosomal RNA". It matches the Rfam family "Bacterial small subunit ribosomal RNA", at positions 1 to 260 of the family's 1533-position model. Lineage: Bacteria; Bacillati; Bacillota; Bacilli; Caryophanales; Bacillaceae. The record is from RNAcentral.
UUAUCGGAGAGUUUGAUCCUGGCUCAGGACGAACGCUGGCGGCGUGCCUAAUACAUGCAAGUCGAGCGGACAGAUGGGAGCUUGCUCCCUGAUGUUAGCGGCGGACGGGUGAGUAACACGUGGGUAACCUGCCUGUAAGACUGGGAUAACUCCGGGAAACCGGGGCUAAUACCGGAUGGUUGUUUGAACCGCAUGGUUCAAACAUAAAAGGUGGCUUCGGCUACCACUUACAGAUGGACCCGCGGCGCAUUAGCUAGUUGGUGAGGUAA